GAACAUAUUUGUUCAAUAAAACUGGAACAAUACAGAGAAGAUUAGCAUGUCCCCUGCACAACGAUGAAAUACAAAUUCAUGAAGCAUUCCAUUAAAAA
Molecule: small nuclear RNA, 98 nt
Organism: Cricetulus griseus (Chinese hamster)
Lineage: Eukaryota; Metazoa; Chordata; Mammalia; Rodentia; Cricetidae
Source: Ensembl